AGGAUUCCCCUAGUACUGCGAGUGAAGCGGGAAAAGCUCAAAUUUAAAAUCUGGCAGUCUCUGGCUGUCCGAGUUGUAAUCUAGAGAAGUAAUGCCCGUGCUGGACCGUGUAUAAGUCUCCUGGGAUGGGGCGUCAUAGAGGGUGAGAAUCCCGUCUUUGACACGGACUACCAGUGCAUUGUGGUAUGCUCUCAAAGAGUCGAGUUGUUUGGGAAUGCAGCUCAAAAUGGGUGGUAAAUUCCAUCUAAAGCUAAAUAUUGGCGAGAGACCGAUAGCGAACAAGUACCGUGAGGGAAAGAUGAAAAGAACUUUGGAAAGAGAGUUAAACAGUACGUGAAAUUGCUGAAAGGGAAACGCUUGAAGUCAGUCGCGUUGGCCGGGAAUCAGCCUUGCUUUUGCAUGGUGUACUUUCUGGUUGAUGGGUCAGCAUCAAUUUUGACCGCUGGAAAAAGACCUGGGGAAUGUGGCAGCUUCGGCUGUGUUAUAGCCCCUAGUCACAUACAGUGGUUGGGAUUGAGGAACUCAGCACGCCGCAAGGCCGGGUUUCGACCACGUUCGUGCUUAGGAUGCUGGCAUAAUGGCUUUAAGCGACCCGUCUUGAAACACGGACCAAGGAGUCUAACAUGCCUGCGAGUAUUUGGGUGGAAAACCCAAGUGCNNAAUGAAAGUGAAAGUUGAGAUCCCUGUCNUGGGGAGCAUCGACGCCCGGACCAGAACUUUUGGGACGGAUCCGCGGUGGAGCAUGUAUGUUGGGACCCGAAAGAUGGUGAACUAUGCCUGAAUAGGGUGAAGCCAGAGGAAACUCUGGUGGAGGCUCGUAGCGAUUCUGACGUGCAAAUCGAUCGUCAAAUUUGGGUAUAGGGGCGAAAA
Molecule: ribosomal RNA, 870 nt
Filed under: Agaricus baiyunensis
Lineage: Eukaryota; Fungi; Basidiomycota; Agaricomycetes; Agaricales; Agaricaceae
Description: partial large subunit ribosomal RNA
Rfam family: Eukaryotic large subunit ribosomal RNA
Source: RNAcentral